AUUGAACGCUGGCGGCAGGCCUAACACAUGCAAGUCGAGCGCGCGGCGGACGGGUGAGUAAUGUCUGGGAAACUGCCUGAUGGAGGGGGAUAACUACUGGAAACGGUAGCUAAUACCGCAUACCAUCAGAUGUGCCCAGAUGGGAUUAGCUCGUAGGUGGGGUAACGGCUCACCUAGGCGACGAUCCCUAGCUGGUCUGAGAGGAUGACCAGGCACACUGGAACUGAGACACGGUCCAGACUCCUACGCGAGGCAGCAGUGGGUAAUAUGGCACAAUGGGCGCAAGCCUGAUGCAGCCAUGCCGCGGGUGUGAAGAAGGCCGUCGGGUUGUAAAGCACUUUCAGCGGGGAGGCGUUACGCGCAGAAGAAGCACCGGCUAACUCCGUGCCAGCAGCCGCGGUAAUAC
This 406-nucleotide ribosomal RNA is filed under the name uncultured bacterium. Its description in RNAcentral is "partial 16S ribosomal RNA". It matches the Rfam family "Bacterial small subunit ribosomal RNA", at positions 29 to 526 of the family's 1533-position model. The record is from RNAcentral.